Molecule: ribosomal RNA, 1265 nt
Filed under: Kaloula rigida (Luzon narrow-mouthed frog)
Lineage: Eukaryota; Metazoa; Chordata; Amphibia; Anura; Microhylidae
Description: partial 16S ribosomal RNA
Rfam family: Bacterial large subunit ribosomal RNA
Source: RNAcentral
GCUUAAAACCUAGCCCGACCCCAUCGCAACUUAUGUAACCAAACUUCUUUACUCAACACAAUAAAACAUUUUCAACAUCUAGUAAAGGCGAUUAAAAAAUGUCUAGGAGCCUUAGAAACAGUACCGCAAGGGAACAGUGAAAUAAAAAUGAAAUAACUUUAAAGCACCAAAAAGCAGAGAUCAGACCUCGUACCUUUUGCAUCAUGGUCUAGCCAGUCCAACCAAGCAAAAAGAAAUUUAAGUUUGACCCCCCGAAACUAAGUGAGCUACUUCAAAACAGCCUUUAAGGGCCAACCCGUCUCUGUUGCAAAAGAGUGGGAAGAUUUUCAAGUAGAGGUGACAGACCUACCGAACUUAGAGAUAGCUGGUUAUUCAGGAAAAGGAUCUUAGUCCUACCUUAAGCCCUCAAAUAAUUUUUAAUACACCAACGGGCCUAAGAGCUAUUCAAAUAAGGUACAGCCUAUUUGAAACAGGAUACAACCUCAACAACAGGGUAAUGAAUUAACAACACAUGAUAAAGUGGGCCUAAGAGCAGCCACCUUCAAAAAAGCGUUAAAGCUUAAUCAUUAAAUUAUUCCAAUUCCACUAAUUCACCAAAACCCUUACCCAAUACUGAAUGAUUCUAUACAUAUAUAGAAAACUAUAUGCUAGAACUAGUAAUAAGAAGGAGACCUUCUCCAAAAUAUGAGUGUGAGCCGAAAUGAACAACUCACCGGCACUUAACGCAACUGAACCUAUAGUAGUAACUUUACAAGAAAACCCUACCCAAACAUGCGUCAACCUUACACUAGAAUAUUCUGAAAGAUAAAAGAGAAGGAAGGAACUCGGCAAACUAUUAACCCCGCCUGUUUACCAAAAACAUCGCCUCUUGAAAAAUAUAAGAGGUCCAGCCUGCCCAGUGACAAAGUUAAACGGCCGCGGUACCCUAACCGUGCGAAGGUAGCGCAAUCACUUGUUCUUUAAAUGAGGACUAGUAUGAAUGGCAUCACGAGGGUUAUACUGUCUCCCCUCUCUAAUCAAUGAAACUGACCUCCCCGUGAAGAGGCGGGGAUAAUACUAUAAGACGAGAAGACCCCAUGGAGCUUAAAACUCAGUACCAAUUACCUAACUAUACUCCAUCUUAACCCGGUAAUUAUGGCCCCUAGUUUUCGGUUGGGGUGACCGCGGAGUAAAACAAAACCUUCGGGAUGAAAGCACCCACCCUCCUUAUCAUGGAGCCUCAGCUCAAAGAAUCAAAAAAGAACAAAAAUUGAUUCAAUCAACCA